Molecule: ribosomal RNA, 253 nt
Filed under: uncultured bacterium
Lineage: Bacteria
Description: partial 16S ribosomal RNA
Rfam family: Bacterial small subunit ribosomal RNA
Source: RNAcentral
GACGUAGGGCGCGAGCGUUGUCCGGAUUUAUUGGGCGUAAAGAGCUCGUAGGCGGCUUGUUGCGUCGACUGUGAAAACCCGCGGCUUAACUGCGGGCUUGCAGUUGAUACGGGCAGGCUAGAGUUCGGUAGGGGAGACUGGAAUUCCUGGUGUAGCGGUGAAAUGCGCAGAUAUCAGGAGGAACACCGGUGGCGAAGGCGGUUCUCUGGGCAUUACCUGACGCUGAGGAGCGAAAGCGUGGGGAGCGAACAGG